UAACGCCAAGGUCGCGGGUUCGA
Molecule: non-coding RNA, 23 nt
Filed under: Xenopus tropicalis (tropical clawed frog)
Lineage: Eukaryota; Metazoa; Chordata; Amphibia; Anura; Pipidae
Also listed under: 2 other names
Source: RNAcentral